UGGGGAAUAUUGGACAAUGGGCGAAAGCCUGAUCCAGCCAUGCCGCGUGUGUGAAGAAGGUCUUCGGAUUGUAUAGCACUUUAAGUUGGGAGGAAGGGUACUUACCUAAUACGUGAGUAUUUUGACGUUACCGACAGAAUAAGCACCGGCUAACUCUGUGCCAGCAGCCGCGGUAAUACAGAGGGUGCAAGCGUUAAUCGGAAUUACUGGGCGUAAAGCGCGCGUAGGUGGUUUGUUAAGUUGGAUGUGAAAGCCCCGGGCUCAACCUGGGAACUGCAUCCAGAACUGGCAGGCUAGAGUAUGGUAGGGGGGGGUGGAAUUUCCUGUGUAGCGGUGAAAUGCGUAGAUAUAGGGAGGAACACCAGUGGCGAAGGCGACCACCUGGGCUGAUACUGACGCUGAGGUGCGAAAGCGUGGGGAGCAAACA
Molecule: ribosomal RNA, 427 nt
Filed under: uncultured bacterium
Lineage: Bacteria
Description: bacterial SSU rRNA
Rfam family: Bacterial small subunit ribosomal RNA
Source: RNAcentral